RNAcentral lists this ribosomal RNA (497 nucleotides) under uncultured bacterium. RNAcentral's name for it is "partial 16S ribosomal RNA". It matches the Rfam family "Bacterial small subunit ribosomal RNA", at positions 28 to 507 of the family's 1533-position model. The record is from RNAcentral.
GAUGAACGCUGGCGGCGUGCCUAAUACAUGCAAGUCGAGCGAACAGACGAGGAGCUUGCUCCUCUGACGUUAGCGGCGGACGGGUGAGUAACACGUGGAUAACCUACCUAUAAGACUGGGAGAACUUCGGGAAACCGGAGCUAAUACCGGAUAAUAUAUUGAACCGCAUGGUUCAAUAGUGAAAGACGGCUUUGGUGUCACUUAUAGAUGGUUCCGCGCCGCAUUAGCUAGUUGGUAAGGUAACGGCUUACCAAGGCUACGAUGCGUAGCCGACCUGAGAGGGUGAUCGGCCACACUGGAACUGAGACACGGUCCAGACUCCUACGGGAGGCAGCAGUAGGGAAUCUUCCGCAAUGGGCGAAAGCCUGACGGAGCAACGCCGCGUGAGUGAUGAAGGUCUUCGGAUCGUAAAGCUCUGUUAUUAGGGAAGAACAAAUGUGUAAGAAACUAUGCACGUCUUGACGGUACCUAAUCAGAAAGCCACGGCUAACUACGUG